GAUCUGCAGGUAGGGAAAAGGGUAUUUAAAAUAAAUCAAUCUGGGCUCAAUAAUAACAUUUGUUUUACUUGACAUAGACAAAUAUCUUCAAAAGAUUAAAACAAAAAAGAUUUCAAAGCUUUUGAUUACUUUACUUUUUUAGGAAAACGCAAAGUAUGGCAUUAUGAAAACAUGCUGAAAAUUCUACAAACUACAUUAUGUACAAAACUACAAAAUAAUGGCAAAGUAUGGGACUUAAUUUGGCACUUGCAUAGCACUGGUACACUAGUUUUAACAUAAUAAAAUAUAUAUGAACAUAAUAAACAUAGAGGUAGAAUAAUGGCUAUGUCUAGCACAGCAUGAUAUGGCUGCAACAAUUCAAGUAGAUAAAAAAGGUUUUUACUAGGUUAGUUUUUUUAACUUUCGUUUUUGAUAUAGACGUUAAGAGGAAACACAUGUGAACAUCAAAUGAGAUAGACAUAUUCUCCAACUAUAAACAUGAAUAUUUCUAAGUUGAUGAAUCAGUGGGCUAUUAUAGAUUGUACAAAAAAAUAAAUAAAUAAAAAAUCAUGGCGGUAGUUUACCAUUCAAAAUUGUUUGGCAAAACAUAAUAUCUGGAAGCACCUGUUGAUAAUUAAACAUAAACAAUGUAUUGGAGAUCAUAUUUGCAUGUAUCUUUAUGAUAAAUACUGAUUGCACAAAUUAAAAUGCCUUUCUUAAAACUGUUCUGCUUGUGUAAAAUGUAGAUAGAAAUGUGAUUGGGAAUGUAUGUAUGAAUUGAAAUAUAUCUGAACUAAAUAAAAAUCUGAAUAACCUUUUCAACUAGGUUUUUGCAACAUGCUUCAAAGAUUUCAGCAUUAUUCUACAGUUAAUGACAAGUCAAAAGCCUAUUAUUGCAAUUGAAAUAUUCAUUUUUGAUUUGGAUUUUUAAACUUGUUAUUGGAGCAGGCACUGAUGUUUAUGUAUAGGAAAUACUCAUCUGAUAAACCAAAUUUAACAUGUUGGCUUCUUAAAAUCAUUUGACCCAUAUCUUAAUGGUUUUAGAUGAAUAUCUGAUAUCUUUUCCUUUUAACAUAUUCCAAUUCCAACAAUUAAGUUAAAAUGAAUUAAAAAAUUCUAAAUUUUGUUUCUUCGAUAAAUACAUACACGUAAUAUCAGUG
Molecule: long non-coding RNA, 1139 nt
Filed under: Mytilus galloprovincialis (Mediterranean mussel)
Lineage: Eukaryota; Metazoa; Mollusca; Bivalvia; Mytilida; Mytilidae
Source: RNAcentral